CCGCCGGAGACCACACCGAACCUCUUGUUAUAGCAUGUCGUCUGAGCUUGAUACAAGCAAACCUAAUUAAAACUUUCAACAAUGGAUCUCUUGGUUCCGGCAUCGAUGAAGAACGCAGCGAACUGCGAUAAGUAAUGUGAAUUGCAGAAUUCAGUGAAUCAUCGAGUCUUUGAACGCACAUUGCGCCCCCUGGCAUUCCGGGGGGCAUGCCUGUCCGAGCGUCAUUGCUGCCCUUCAAGCCCGGCUUGUGUGUUGGGUCGUCGUCCCCCCCGGGGGACGGGCCCGAAAGGCAGCGGCGGCACCGCGUCCUGGUCCUCGAGCGUAUGGGGCUUUGUCACCCGCUCGUUUAGGGCCGGCCGGGCGCCAGCCGACGUCUCCAAACCUUUUAUUUUACCAGGUUGACCCUGGAAUCAGGUAGGGGAUACCCCGCUGAAACUUAAGCAUAUC
RNAcentral lists this ribosomal RNA (447 nucleotides) under Aspergillus ustus. RNAcentral's name for it is "eukaryotic LSU rRNA". The stretch from base 71 to 224 matches the Rfam family "5.8S ribosomal RNA". Lineage: Eukaryota; Fungi; Ascomycota; Eurotiomycetes; Eurotiales; Aspergillaceae. The record is from RNAcentral.